UUGACCUCGGAUCAAGU
RNAcentral lists this ribosomal RNA (17 nucleotides) under Rhizoplaca novomexicana. RNAcentral describes it as "partial 28S ribosomal RNA". The record is from RNAcentral. Lineage: Eukaryota; Fungi; Ascomycota; Lecanoromycetes; Lecanorales; Lecanoraceae.